AUUGAACGCUGGCGGCAUGCUUUACACAUGCAAGUCGAACGGCAGCGCGGGGCAACCUGGCGGCGAGUGGCGAACGGGUGAGUAAUACAUCGGAACGUACCCAGAAGUGGGGGAUAACGUAGCGAAAGUUACGCUAAUACCGCAUACGUUCUACGGAAGAAAGUGGGGGACCUUCGGGCCUCAUGCUUUUGGAGCGGCCGAUGUCUGAUUAGCUAGUUGGUGAGGUAAAGGCACACCAAGGCGACGAUCAGUAGCUGGUCUGAGAGGACGACCAGACACGCUGGGACUGGGACACCGCCCAGACUCCUACGGGAGGCAGCAGUGGGGAAUUUUGGACAAUGGGCGCAAGCCUGAUCCAGCAAUGCCGCGUGAGUGAAGAAGGCCUUCGGGUUGUAAAGCUCUUUUGUCAGGGAAGAAACGGCUGAGGAUAAUACCUUCGGCUAAUGACGGUACCUGAAGAAUAAGCACCGGCUAACUACGUGCCAGCAGCCGCGGUAA
Molecule: ribosomal RNA, 498 nt
Filed under: uncultured bacterium
Lineage: Bacteria
Description: partial 16S ribosomal RNA
Rfam family: Bacterial small subunit ribosomal RNA
Source: RNAcentral